CAGUCGCCGCGGGAAUACGAAGGGGGCUAGCGUUGUUCGGAUUUACUGGGCGUAAAGCGCACGUAGGCGGAUCCUUAAGUCAGAGGUGAAAUCCCAAGGCUCAACCUUGGAACUGCCUUUGAUACUGGGGAUCUCGAGUCCGGGAGAGGUGAGUGGAACUGCGAGUGUAGAGGUGAAAUUCGUAGAUAUUCGCAAGAACACCAGUGGCGAAGGCGGCUCACUGGCCCGGUACUGACGCUGAGGUGCGAAAGCGUGGGGAGCAAACAGGAUUAGAUACCCCAGUAGUCCCUGUCUCUUAUAC
Molecule: ribosomal RNA, 301 nt
Filed under: uncultured bacterium
Lineage: Bacteria
Description: partial 16S ribosomal RNA
Rfam family: Bacterial small subunit ribosomal RNA
Source: RNAcentral